UUGUGGGGGAUUUCGACAAAUCUAUAAGAGUACCACUGAGCUCAGAGCUGGGGUUGACAAAAUCUUCGAUUUCAAAUGCAUCUAUAGACCUUACACAGGCAAAGCCGUGGUGAGCAAUUUCCUGAGGCUGUUCUACAUGAUCCUUAGGUGAAGAUAUAAGGAUAUCAGAUGAAAUACUCUCUCCUGCUGGCUGUUGGGCAGUGGCAAUUGAAG
This 213-nucleotide unclassified non-coding RNA is filed under the name Hevea brasiliensis (rubber tree). Lineage: Eukaryota; Viridiplantae; Streptophyta; Magnoliopsida; Malpighiales; Euphorbiaceae. The record is from RNAcentral.